This 416-nucleotide unclassified non-coding RNA is filed under the name soil metagenome. RNAcentral's name for it is "partial contains 5.8S ribosomal RNA, internal transcribed spacer 2, and large subunit ribosomal RNA". The stretch from base 1 to 120 matches the Rfam family "5.8S ribosomal RNA", at positions 35 to 154 of the family's 154-position model. The record is from RNAcentral.
GAUGAAGAACGUAGCGAAAUGCGAUAAGUAAUGUGAAUUGCAGAAUUCAGUGAAUCAUCGAAUCUUUGAACGCACCUUGCACUCCUUGGUAUUCCGAGGAGUACGCCUGUUCGAGUGUUAUGAAGCUCUCAAAACGCAAUUGGCUUAAAACCUGAUUGUUGUUUUGGAUUUGAACUUUGCCGUGUUAUAACGGCUGGUUUUAAAAGUAUUAGCUGGUACUAGAACGAAUUGGUUCUACUCAACGUGAUAAUUAUCUGAUCGUUGAGGACAUUCCUUUCACGAGGAAUGGCCAUAGUAGAUUCAAUGGACUGCUUCUAAUCUGGCUUUAAUUCUUUAUUGGAUUAACCACUUUUCAAAUCUGACCUCGAAUCAGGUGGGACUACCCGCUGAACUUAAGCAUAUCAAUAAGCGGAGGA